GGGUUGUGAGGUUAAGCGACUAAGCGUACACGGUGGAUGCCCUGGCAGUCAGAGGCGAUGAAGGACGUGCUAAUCUGCGAUAAGCGUCGGUGAGGUGAUAUGAACCGUUAUAACCGGCGAUUUCCGAAUGGGGAAACCCAGUGUGUUUCGACACACUAUCAUUAACUGAAUCCAUAGGUUAAUGAGGCGAACCGGGGGAACUGAAACAUCUAAGUACCCCGAGGAAAAGAAAUCAACCGAGAUUCCCCCAGUAGCGGCGAGCGAACGGGGAGGAGCCCAGAGCCUGAAUCAGUGUGUGUGUUAGUGGAAGCGUCUGGAAAGGCGCGCGAUACAGGGUGACAGCCCCGUACACAAAAAUGCACAUAUUGUGAGCUCGAUGAGUAGGGCGGGACACGUGGUAUCCUGUCUGAAUAUGGGGGGACCAUCCUCCAAGGCUAAAUACUCCUGACUGACCGAUAGUGAACCAGUACCGUGAGGGAAAGGCGAAAAGAACCCCGGCGAGGGGAGUGAAAAAGAACCUGAAACCGUGUACGUACAAGCAGUGGGAGCCUCUUUAUGGGGUGACUGCGUACCUUUUGUAUAAUGGGUCAGCGACUUAUAUUCUGUAGCAAGGUUAACCGAAUAGGGGAGCCGAAGGGAAACCGAGUCUUAACUGGGCGUUAAGUUGCAGGGUAUAGACCCGAAACCCGGUGAUCUAGCCAUGGGCAGGUUGAAGGUUGGGUAACACUAACUGGAGGACCGAACCGACUAAUGUUGAAAAAUUAGCGGAUGACUUGUGGCUGGGGGUGAAAGGCCAAUCAAACCGGGAGAUAGCUGGUUCUCCCCGAAAGCUAUUUAGGUAGCGCCUCGUGAAUUCAUCUCCGGGGGUAGAGCACUGUUUCGGCAAGGGGGUCAUCCCGACUUACCAACCCGAUGCAAACUGCGAAUACCGGAGAAUGUUAUCACGGGAGACACACGGCGGGUGCUAACGUCCGUCGUGAAGAGGGAAACAACCCAGACCGCCAGCUAAGGUCCCAAAGUCAUGGUUAAGUGGGAAACGAUGUGGGAAGGCCCAGACAGCCAGGAUGUUGGCUUAGAAGCAGCCAUCAUUUAAAGAAAGCGUAAUAGCUCACUGGUCGAGUCGGCCUGCGCGGAAGAUGUAACGGGGCUAAACCAUGCACCGAAGCUGCGGCAGCGACACUAUGUGUUGUUGGGUAGGGGAGCGUUCUGUAAGCCUGUGAAGGUGGCCUGUGAGGGUUGCUGGAGGUAUCAGAAGUGCGAAUGCUGACAUAAGUAACGAUAAAGCGGGUGAAAAGCCCGCUCGCCGGAAGACCAAGGGUUCCUGUCCAACGUUAAUCGGGGCAGGGUGAGUCGACCCCUAAGGCGAGGCCGAAAGGCGUAGUCGAUGGGAAACAGGUUAAUAUUCCUGUACUUGGUGUUACUGCGAAGGGGGGACGGAGAAGGCUAUGUUGGCCGGGCGACGGUUGUCCCGGUUUAAGCGUGUAGGCUGGUUUUCCAGGCAAAUCCGGAAAACCAAGGCUGAGGCGUGAUGACGAGGCACUACGGUGCUGAAGCGACAAAUGCCCUGCUUCCAGGAAAAGCCUCUAAGCAUCAGGUAACAUCAAAUCGUACCCCAAACCGACACAGGUGGUCAGGUAGAGAAUACCAAGGCGCUUGAGAGAACUCGGGUGAAGGAACUAGGCAAAAUGGUGCCGUAACUUCGGGAGAAGGCACGCUGAUAUGUAGGUGAAGCGACUUGCUCGUGGAGCUGAAAUCAGUCGAAGAUACCAGCUGGCUGCAACUGUUUAUUAAAAACACAGCACUGUGCAAACACGAAAGUGGACGUAUACGGUGUGACGCCUGCCCGGUGCCGGAAGGUUAAUUGAUGGGGUUAGCGGUAACGCGAAGCUCUUGAUCGAAGCCCCGGUAAACGGCGGCCGUAACUAUAACGGUCCUAAGGUAGCGAAAUUCCUUGUCGGGUAAGUUCCGACCUGCACGAAUGGCGUAAUGAUGGCCAGGCUGUCUCCACCCGAGACUCAGUGAAAUUGAACUCGCUGUGAAGAUGCAGUGUACCCGCGGCAAGACGGAAAGACCCCGUGAACCUUUACUAUAGCUUGACACUGAACAUUGAGCCUUGAUGUGUAGGAUAGGUGGGAGGCUUUGAAGUGUGGACGCCAGUCUGCAUGGAGCCGACCUUGAAAUACCACCCUUUAAUGUUUGAUGUUCUAACGUUGGCCCGUAAUCCGGGUUGCGGACAGUGUCUGGUGGGUAGUUUGACUGGGGCGGUCUCCUCCUAAAGAGUAACGGAGGAGCACGAAGGUUGGCUAAUCCUGGUCGGACAUCAGGAGGUUAGUGCAAUGGCAUAAGCCAGCUUGACUGCGAGCGUGACGGCGCGAGCAGGUGCGAAAGCAGGUCAUAGUGAUCCGGUGGUUCUGAAUGGAAGGGCCAUCGCUCAACGGAUAAAAGGUACUCCGGGGAUAACAGGCUGAUACCGCCCAAGAGUUCAUAUCGACGGCGGUGUUUGGCACCUCGAUGUCGGCUCAUCACAUCCUGGGGCUGAAGUAGGUCCCAAGGGUAUGGCUGUUCGCCAUUUAAAGUGGUACGCGAGCUGGGUUUAGAACGUCGUGAGACAGUUCGGUCCCUAUCUGCCGUGGGCGCUGGAGAACUGAGGGGGGCUGCUCCUAGUACGAGAGGACCGGAGUGGACGCAUCACUGGUGUUCGGGUUGUCAUGCCAAUGGCACUGCCCGGUAGCUAAAUGCGGAAGAGAUAAGUGCUGAAAGCAUCUAAGCACGAAACUUGCCCCGAGAUGAGUUCUCCCUGACUCCUUGAGAGUCCUGAAGGAACGUUGAAGACGACGACGUUGAUAGGCCGGGUGUGUAAGCGCAGCGAUGCGUUGAGCUAACCGGUACUAAUGAACCGUGAGGCUUA
RNAcentral lists this ribosomal RNA (2908 nucleotides) under Escherichia coli. RNAcentral describes it as "partial 23S ribosomal RNA". It matches the Rfam family "Bacterial large subunit ribosomal RNA". Lineage: Bacteria; Pseudomonadati; Pseudomonadota; Gammaproteobacteria; Enterobacterales; Enterobacteriaceae. The record is from RNAcentral.